CCAAGUUAACCCUUACCGGAAGCCAGCGCCUAAAGCGAGGUCUUUGAUUGGGGCUAAGUCGUAACAAGGUAGCCGUAUCGGAAGGUGCGGCUGGACCACCUCCUUUCU
This 108-nucleotide ribosomal RNA is filed under the name uncultured Planctomycetota bacterium. RNAcentral describes it as "uncultured planctomycete partial 16S ribosomal RNA". It matches the Rfam family "Bacterial small subunit ribosomal RNA", at positions 1430 to 1533 of the family's 1533-position model. The record is from RNAcentral. Lineage: Bacteria; Pseudomonadati; Planctomycetota.